AGAACAGAGGUUCUACUCUUUUAUGAUUGGCUGUACACAAACAAGACAUGGAAUAUAAAUACAAAUGGAAACAGAUGAUCCUUCACAACCUUCACAUCAACAACACCAGCUGACACUGAAUUUGCACAGCAACAUCAUCGACGCUGCCUCAGCUGCCACAGAUUCAGAAGCACCUGUAGAACCGGAGUAUCUGCCAUCGAGCCGAGGAAUCCAGAGCACCGCGACAUCAAGAGAUAUACAAGAUGGCUGCUCAAAGAUUCAAUUACGAUGAAGGACUGAGUGACAACGGAAAAAAAAUGUUUCGAGAGAAAACAGUGAGAGUCAAUCAAGACAAGCUCUAUUAUGAUGAAAGAGAAGGGAAAAAAUGGGACCUCCAAUUUGGUAGCUCACUUGUUGAAGACUGGCUGAAGGUAAUGAGGAAGAAAUAUCCCAACCUUCAGGAAAUUAAACAGGACGGUCAAAUCAGACUAAAGUCCAAGGAAGGUGACGGUACCAUAAGCUUGUAUCCUUACGUAAGAGUUCUGGUACGUGGCCAAAUAAUGGAAACGUUUGAGAGAGAUUUUCAAGAAAUGAGACAAGAAGUCCAGGAUGGCGCCUUAACAGCAAGAAUGGGAGGAAUGACCUUAACUAAUGAUGGAGGAUGUCCUGAUGAGCCUGUUGGGGAAGGGGCCUCUGCCCACCCCAGCAAAACUCCAACCCCGGCUCCCCGCUGAUGUUCAAUAUAUUGUCUGAUGAAUGAGUAAUUAUAUACCCCCCCUCAAAAAAAUAAAAAAAUGGUACUAUGUUGUAAAAUCAAUUACAUUUUUUUCCUGAUUUUUGCAGUACAUUUGUCUUGUACUGUGCAUCUCUAUAAUUUCUGCUCCUGGUGUUUAUAUAUUGUUUUAGAAAUGUGUCACAAGAGUCACAAAUGUAAUGUUAGAGGUGUAAUGAUGUAUCUUCUGUUUAUGUCCUACGACACUUUAUUCUGUGUGCCGGUCAUGGAGGACGUUAAGAGCAGUCUUGUACUCACUGAGCAGGUGGUAGUUUGAGUCUCUCUCAUAUUUGAAGGUCAGUCUUCCAUAGCUGACAUGGUUGAGAUUCUUCAGCCACUCGAAAUAAGACACUGUCACACCGCCAGCAUUCAGGUACAUGUCCUGCAGGAUGAAACACCAUAAAUAUCUGCCCCUUUGGAACAGUCUUCACUCAUCUGUGUGUACAAUUAUUCUGAUUAGCUUUCCUCUGUGCUGUAAAAAUGUUUGUGAGAUUUGAUUUGGGAAGCAAAUGAUUUUUUUUUUUCCCCUGUAAAAUAAA
Long non-coding RNA from Chelmon rostratus (copperband butterflyfish), 1290 nucleotides. RefSeq lists it as uncharacterized. The transcript is spliced from 3 exons. The record is from RefSeq and is a predicted model, not a curated record. Lineage: Eukaryota; Metazoa; Chordata; Actinopteri; Chaetodontiformes; Chaetodontidae.